RNAcentral lists this ribosomal RNA (215 nucleotides) under uncultured bacterium. Its description in RNAcentral is "partial 16S ribosomal RNA". It matches the Rfam family "Bacterial small subunit ribosomal RNA", at positions 118 to 334 of the family's 1533-position model. The record is from RNAcentral.
UGGGUACCUGCCUUCCAGUGAGGAAUACCGGCGAGAAAUCGCCGACAAGACCGCAUGAGCUUGCGAGGGGACCUCGCAAGGAAAGCUUCGCGAGAGGCGCUGGAAGAGGGGCCUGUGGCCGAUUAGCUGGUUGGUGGGGUAACGGCUCACCAAGGCUGCGAUCGGUAGCUGGUCUGAGAGGACGAGCAGCCACACUGGGAUUGAGAACGGCCCAG